CCUCCAUCUCCCUUCCAGCUGUCAUUUCCAAGAAGAGAAGCCUCCAUGUCUAAGCAUCUAUUCUCCAGAUGGACACACUGAGGCCCAGAAGGAUACCAUCCCCACACAGGCAGAACUGGCACCAGACCCUGAGUCCUUGAGCGCUGCACUCACCCUGCCCGCUGCCCCUGUGGUCUGGGGUCUGGGCACUGGCAAGGCCAGGCUGGCAGCUCUAGCCCCGCAUGGGUCAAGGACUCCCGAGCACGAAGCUCAGUUGCCUAGCAACAAGUGGUGUCCUGGAGCUGGCUGUCACUCCAGCAGGUCACGGGAGAGAUGGGGCAACCAUGUGGAUGACUUCCUAAGGCCCCUUGCCUGCCACAGGGACAUCUCCACAUUUAUGUUCCACAGAUUGGGUCAGAAGAAUUUCAGGGACGGGAUGGACCAGGAGCCAGGCAGCUGCAAUCCCGCAUCAGCUGGUUGGGGAUGGAAUGUUGCUUCCCUGUCCCCAGCUCCCACUAUUGUAAGAGGAGCUCCAAGAAGAUAAGGACAUGGUCAACUUUUUCUGCUGUGUCGUCACACAAUGCCUGGCCCACAGUAGGGCCACAAGCACUACACGUUGAGUACUACAAAGUUUAAACCCUGGCAAGGGGUCAGGCUGGCCACGCCACUCCAAAGGCGGACGAGGAGUCAGGGGUGAAGCUGUGUGAUUUAGGCAAAGAGAAGUUCCUCUCCGGUCUGAGGUUUCCAACCUGUUCAAUUUUAACCUGCCACCUUUUAUGUCCAAAGGAGUCCUUUCUGACUCAUUAUCUCCGGGCAGGGUGGGACUAUUACAGGGUGCCAUGGGGUGCUGUGAGCUGGGCUGUACUUGCCCCUGGAAUGUUGUCACGUCUCCUCCCUCCCUCCCAGAUAAAACCCAAGCAUAAGCGAGAUCCUGGAGGUGAUGCGAGCCAUCUUAGACAUCCCAGAGAGCCCCAGCCUUUGCACCGAUGUUAUUAACAUUAUGAUUUACUUUCCUGCUGUAUUUUUUCAUCUUAGCUGCAGCUGCUUCCCACCCCGCCUCCCACCACUAGAAGACUGUUUAAAGUAAAUCCUUCUAAAAUUCUUUCUUUUUCUUUUUUUCUUUUUUUUUUUCUGAGAUGGAGUUUCACUCUUGUCGCCCAAGCUGGAGUGCAAUGGCGCGAUCUCGGCUCACUGCAACCUCCGCCUCCCAAGUUCAAGCAAUUCUCCUGCCUCAGCCUCCCAAGUAGCUGGAAUUACAGGCACCCACCACCACACCGGGCUAAUUUUUGUAUUUUUAGUAGAGACGGGGUUUCACCACAUUGGCCAGGCUGGUCUCAAACUCCUGACCUCAGGUGAUCUGCCCGCCUCGGCCUCCCAAAGUGCCGGGAUUACAGGCAUGAGCCACCACACAUGGCCUAAAUACUUUUAAAAUUCUAACCAGUCUGAGCUGAAAUUAGAAAAUAGUUUUAAUACUUUGGGGGAAUUCUGCUUAAAUUCCCUUUUUGCGAGUUUGACGGUGACCUUUAAAAAGCAGCAUGUGAUAAGUACAGGACCUACAUCUGUACAGCCCCUUUCUACGAGUGGGUGACCCUCCGUGGGUGGGGAGAAGUUGGACAGCUCAUUUGUCACAGAUCUUCCAUUUCUUAAGGUGAUUUUAGAAUAACUUAUUUGAGUCCCAACUCUGGGGGAAUGGGCGGGGAAUAUUAAUCCCAUUUGUCAGAUGAGGAAACUGAGACGCAGAGGAGGCAAACGACGCCCCCUGAGGUUGACAAAGUAUUAGGGUGGAGCUGGAAGC
This 1774-nucleotide long non-coding RNA is filed under the name Homo sapiens (human). RNAcentral's name for it is "HSALNT0231794". The record is from RNAcentral. Lineage: Eukaryota; Metazoa; Chordata; Mammalia; Primates; Hominidae.